Zingiber officinale is the source of this 462-nucleotide long non-coding RNA. RefSeq lists it as uncharacterized. The record is from RefSeq and is a predicted model, not a curated record. The transcript is spliced from 3 exons. NCBI's taxonomy places the organism in Eukaryota, Viridiplantae, Streptophyta, Magnoliopsida, Zingiberales, Zingiberaceae.
GAUGUUUCGAAUAUCCACAGCCAGUGCGGUUAUAUUUAUUCUUGAGCAGGUGGUGUUCUGAGUACAUGCUCCUCUGUUGAAAGGCUCACCUAGGGGCCAAGGAUACGCGAAGCAGCUCUUUGCAGUCAUGAUCCUGCUUGCUUACGUCUCCUGCUCUGGUUUACUGGAUCUACAGAUUGCCCUCUGACAGAAGACAACCUUCAAGAAAGAUGCAUUAGGUAGGAGUGAUCAUCACCCUUUUGAAAAGAAGAUCUGAUGGGAAAGAAAAUUUGUGGAAAAAGAAGAUGAGUUGAUGUAUGUAUAGUUUAUUUUGAAAAACCUUGUAUAACUUUUUGGAGUGCUGGACUUGUAGAACUUCUUGGAGUCUUGAAGAAAAAAGUUCUCGUAUAACUUUUUGAGAACUUUAGAUUUGUAUUAUUGUAAAAUUAAUUUCAAAUAUUAAUAGAUAUGUAUAUAUGUUAA